This 96-nucleotide transfer RNA is filed under the name compost metagenome. Its description in RNAcentral is "tRNA-Ala". The record is from RNAcentral.
CGUCGUCCGGCGCGCCGGUGGCGUUGGCCGCGUCCAGCAGGCGCGGGGCCAGGCGGGUGAACAGCUCGCGGCCCCGCUCGGUGCGGGUGGCGGCGA